RNAcentral lists this ribosomal RNA (951 nucleotides) under uncultured Bacillota bacterium. RNAcentral describes it as "bacterial SSU rRNA". It matches the Rfam family "Bacterial small subunit ribosomal RNA", at positions 1 to 917 of the family's 1533-position model. The record is from RNAcentral. Lineage: Bacteria; Bacillati; Bacillota.
UGGACCAGACUUUGAUUAUGGCUCAGGAUGAACGCUGGCGGCAUGCCUAAGACAUGCAAGUCGAACGGAGCGGCCCAUUGAAAUGGAGUGCUUGCACAAAGUGGAUUUGGAUUCCCGCUUAGUGGCGAAAGGGUGAGUAACACGUGGGUUAUCUACCUCAGAGACUGGAAUAACAAUUGGAAACGAUUGCUAAUGCCGGAUGAUAUAUAAAACGAUACGUUGUUUUAUAUUAAAAGGAGCCUUUAAAGCUUCACUUUGAGAUGAGCCCGCGGCGUAUUAGCUAGUUGGUGAGGUAAUGGCCCACCAAGGCAACGAUGCGUAGCCGGCCUGAGAGGGUGAUCGGCCACAUUGGGACUGAGACACGGCCCAAACUCCUACGGGAGACAGCAGUUAGGAAUAUUCGUCAAUGGGGGAAACCCUGAACGAGCAAUGCCGCGUGAGUGAUGACGGUCCUUUGGAUUGUAAAACUCUGUUGUUAGGGAAGAACGACCUGUAUAGGAAAUGAUGCAGGAGUGGCGGUACCUUUCAAGAAAGCUCCGGCUAACUACGUGCCAGCAGCCGCGGUAAUACGUAGGGAGCGAGCGUUAUCCGGAUUUAUUGGGUGUAAAGCGUGUGUAGGCGGUUUAUUAAGUCUGAGGUUUAAUCCCGGAGCUUAACUCCGGUUCGCCUCAGAAACUGAUUUACUUGAGUAUGGUAGAGGCAAGUGGAAUUUCUAGUGUAGCGGUAAAAUGCGUAGAUAUUAGAAGGAACACCAGUGGCGAAGGCGACUUGCUGGGCCAUCACUGACGCUGAGACACGAAAGCGUGGGGAGCAAAUAGGAUUAGAUACCCUAGUAGUCCACGCCGUAAACGAUGGAUACUAAGUGUCGGGUAACCGGUGCUGAAGUUAACACAUUAAGUAUCCCACCUGAGUAGUACGGUCGCAAGGCUGCAACUCAAAUGAAUUGACGGA